This 230-nucleotide ribosomal RNA is filed under the name uncultured bacterium. RNAcentral describes it as "partial 16S ribosomal RNA". It matches the Rfam family "Bacterial small subunit ribosomal RNA", at positions 563 to 791 of the family's 1533-position model. The record is from RNAcentral.
GUAAGCGUGCGCAGGCGGUUAUAUAAGACAGAUGUGAAAUCCCCGGGCUCAACCUGGGAACUGCAUUUGUGACUGUAUAGCUGGAGUGCGGCAGAGGGGAUGGAAUUCCGCGUGUAGCAGUGAAAUGCGUAGAUAUGCGGAGGAACACCGAUGGCGAAGGCAAUCCCCUGGGCCUGCACUGACGCUCAUGCACGAAAGCGUGGGGAGCAAACAGGAUUAGAUACCCCUGU